Non-coding RNA from Peromyscus maniculatus bairdii (prairie deer mouse), 1452 nucleotides. NCBI's taxonomy places the organism in Eukaryota, Metazoa, Chordata, Mammalia, Rodentia, Cricetidae. The record is from RefSeq and is a predicted model, not a curated record.
AUGACCCUAGACCGGCAUUUGGGGGCUGCAUCGAUUGACAAGUGUCUCCCCAACUUGCUCAUCAGAGAAUCCACGUAUGCAACAACCACCGAGACUCCAAAUGCUGUAGAGAGGGAGAUUUCCUUAGGAAAGUUCAUGAGACUGUGGAGCGUGGUGGGAAGGUGUUGAUCUCUGUGUUUGCACUGGGCCAGGCAUAAGAGCUCUGCGUCCUGCUGGAGACCUUCUGGGAACGCAUGAACCGGAAGGUGCCCAUCUACUUCUCUGCAGGCCUGACAGAGAAGGCCAACCACUACUACAAGCUCUUCAUCACCUGGACCAACCAGAAAAUAUGUAAGACAUUUGUCCAGAGGAACAUGUUUGAGUUCUAGCACAUCAAAGCUUUUGACUGGACAUUUGCUGACAACCCAGGUCCCGUGGUUGUGUUUGCCACACCUGGGAUGCUGCAUGCUGGCCAGUCUCUGCAGAUCUUUUGAAAGUGGGCAGGAAACGAGAAGAACAUGGUCAUCAUGCCUGGCUACUGUGUGCAAGGCCUUGUGGGCCACAAGAUCCUUAGCGGGCAAUGAAAGCUGGAGAUGGAGGAGGGUCAGGUGCUGGAGGUAAAGACGCAAGUGGGAUACACGUCAUUCAGUGCCCAUGCUGAUGCCAAGGGCAUCGUGCAACUGGUGGGACAAGCAGAGCCGGAGAGUGUGCUGCUGGUGCAUGGCGAGGCCAAGAAGAUGGAGUUCUUCAGGCAGAAGACUGAGCAGGGAUUCUGGGUAAGCUGCUACAUGCCGCCCCGACCAAUGGUGAGACAGUGAUGCUGCCCACAAGCUCCAGCAUCCCUGUGAGCAUCUCCCUGGGGCUGCUGAAGCGGGAGAUGGUGCAGGGACUGCUCCCUGAGGCCCAAAAGCCUCUGCUCUUGCAUGGCGCACUAACUAUGAAAGACCAUAGUUUCCGGCCGGUAUCCUCAGAGCAAGCCCUCAAGGAGUUGGGCCUGGCUGAGCACACCAACUGAGCUCCACCUGUCCUGUGUACCUGCAGGACACAUGCAAGGAGCAAGAAACAGCCCUACAUGUGUACAACCACCUCAAGAGCACCCUCAAAGACCAUCGUAUACAACCCCUCCCUGAUGGCUCUGUGACUGUGGCGUCCAUUCUUAUCCAGGCUGCCGCCCACUCAGAGGACCCUGGUACUGAGUUACUCCUGGUCUCCUGGACCUACCAGGAUGAAGAGGUGGGAAGCUUUCUCACAGCAUGGCUCAAAAAAUGGCCUCCCCCAGGCCCCCAGCUGACGUGUAACCACCAGCAGCCUACCACUCUGUCUCUUACUGUUUGCCCAGCAGAAGGACCAGGGCUUUGGCUUUGGGAGGUGGGUGCCCUGAGUAAAUGGAAACCAUAAUUGGGCCACAGACUCUGUCCUAGGGUCAAGACCAGAGUCACAGGCUGGCUAAUGUAAUAAACAGGCCUUUUUGUU